Molecule: unclassified non-coding RNA, 3729 nt
Filed under: Eufriesea mexicana
Lineage: Eukaryota; Metazoa; Arthropoda; Insecta; Hymenoptera; Apidae
Description: uncharacterized LOC108547967, transcript variant X8
Source: RNAcentral
GCCGGUUCGUGUUGUGUGUCCCGCGCGCGACUUCCGCCUGAUCGACGCUCGUCUCUUCUCCGCGACUCGCGUCGAUACGUUGUCGACCUCCAGUGUUUUCGCGUCCUCCAUCAUUCAGAACGCGGUCACCGGGUCGAAUUUCGAAAACCGAAUCCGCGAGCAUCGAUCGAUCGAGUAUCAAGCUGGUCGCGGUACGUCGAUAAUCGUGCGAAAUAAGAAAGUACGCAGUGAACGAUCAUGGUGUGACUCGAGUGAUUAGACUGAUCUUUCGGAAAGAUCGACGAGGUUGACCGGUGGUUGUGUGGUGAUUGGUUUUGGUGGUGGUGCUUGAUACGCUCUUGGGUGUCGGAAACCCGUUGGCACCUGGGCCUCGUUUACAUCGGUUUACUCAUGCUGGGAGUUUUGAAGCGGCGCUGGAAGCCAUCAAAAAGGGCUUCCAGCGUCCGCGGACCCGAUUCGCCCCUGAGCUCGGAUCUGGCGCUUGAUAAGCCUCGCCCCAUACCAUCACCCAGGCAAAUCCACCCCUUGUACGGGGAGAAGGCCGGGCUUCUGGGCUACUGCGACCCGCUCGGUAACGCAGAGAAUUUCCCACCAGCCCCGAACAUCGUUGUCGAGGGUGGCAGAAUCGAGUUUGUGCGCCCCUCGCAGGAUGGCACCACGACACCCCGUAGGAACACCAUGUCUCGUGGCUCGCAGACCUUCAACGAUGAGUCCGAGAAGUCUGACCCUGCGAAGGUACGUCCCUGCCACUACAGCACCACCAGUUCCUCCCCGGCAUCGACGUGCAUCAACGAGAGCCUGGAAGAGCGAGUGCAAGAAUUGGAACAGGCCUUGCAAGCGGAGCGUCUGGCGGCUCAACGAGAUCGAGCGACCAUCACGAAGCUGCAACGACAAAUCAACAAGACAGAGGCCACGCAACGAGAUGUGGAACGCGAACGACGACAACGAAUGGAGGCCGAAGCUCGGGUACGCGAGGCUACGGCUAAAGCUGAGAGAGCACGCUCCAGGGUUCAUCAUCUUCAGGGAGAACUGGCCAGGAUGGAGGAGACGUCACGCCGGUUGCUGCAGCACAAGCACCGGGCCGAACAGCUGAAGAAAGAGAAAACUGCGCUCACGCUUUCUUACGAGGCACGCGUGCAUCAGUAUCAAGCACAGAUCUCGAAGCUGCAGCUGGAGAACGAGUCGAUGAGGGGUCAGCUGCACGGUUUGGAGGCUGCAUGUGCUGGUGAGGUGCAUGCUGCGCUGGUGGCACGUUUGGCGACCUUGGAAACGGAACACGCCGCCUUGGCGAGGGAUGCGGACGCUCAGCGUCGUCAGUACGAGCGGUGCUUGGACGACGUCGCCAACCAGGUGGUCCGCGCCCUUCUAUCCCAAAAGGGUCUGAGGGAAGAGAUCGGUGCAUUGCAGAGGCGCAUCCGCGAGCUCGAGGCUCAGAAUCGAGCGCUUUCAGGAUUAUUGGCCCAGGCCGCGAAUCCUGGAAGUCCGACAGAAUUGAUUCAAGGGAUCCUCGAAGCUGGACCAGCGGCAGUGGUAGCCGCCCUUGGUCUGGAUCCAGCUUGGGUUCCCUUGUCAAGGCCACGCUCGCUCAAUUUACAAAUACCAGUCAUGGCUGCCACGAAAUGUCGAAGGAACAGACCGUUGGUUGAAAUAACCGAGCACCAAAAUUCAGCCCAGAAGCCGUCAGAAGAGGAAGGUAGCGAGAGUCCAGAGAGCGGGAAUAGAGACGAGGGUUACUCAACGAUGUCCAGCGACGUGCAGGGUGAAGGUGCUCGACAAGAACCAUCCCGGGGGUUGGAGGACUUGAAGGAGGCGACGGACGAGACCGAGGCAGACGUUUCCCCGGAUGCACGACUGGUCGCCCUCGAUGCUGGUGAUCCAGACGUGUUGUUUUUGCCGUUGAAUCUUACCGUAGGAAUAAAUCCGCGUCACAGCUAUCCCCCGACCAAAGACUUGCUACCGUAUCAGCACGUGAUACGCAGCUUCUCUGACAGUCACCUGUGCUUGAGGCUCACCACCACGACCAACGUCACGCCGUACAAGCUACCGAGUCCCAUGGGAUCCUCUUCUCUGCUUCUGGUCGAGGAAGAAGGUUGGGAUGCCGAGUACGUGCAGCAGUGGCUUAGGUUGGACGACAGCAGAAGUGCUCAACAACAUCGAGAUCUACUCGAGUUGGAAUACGACCGAGCAGAACUGGAAGAUUGGAGUUUCUCGUUUUCCACCGAGGACCUUGUUCAAAACGAAUCCACGGUAUGGAAGGAACCCGCCGCCACCACCACCCCUGCGCUUCCAGCAAUCAAGGAACAUAAUCCUCUGGAAUUGGAAGAGGACGCGAACGAAUGCUUGUGGAAUGGUGCCAGUUACCUUGCUGAUAGAACAGGAGGCGAAUUGGUUGCGCUUCUCAUGGAUGCCCGGGCGUCUGGAUCAUGGCCAUACGCUACAAGUCCCGGUGCUUCCUGGAGCAGCGAGGAAGGAGCAUUUGAAAAUUCCAGCAAACGAUCUUCGGCGGCGUUAUCCGGCUGCAGCGACGAUCCAGACUCUCCUUCCAUUGGCACCGACUUCACCAGAGAUUUCUACAGACUAGUAAAGUUCGAGAGUACAAAGAGCUUGGCAAGCACAUCGUCGAGAAGCGGAAGACCACCGCCGGAUAGGGAUCAAGCUUUGCAAAGCGUACUGUCUUUUAUCGCCGAACAACAAAUGUACUUGGCCGAAUUACCAAACAAUCUGCUAGAACAUAACACUACGACUCUCGCAGCGGAAGUUCUAGAGGAAACCGAAAACAAGGAUGAAUCUGGAACCGAGGCGACGUGCACCGAAAUAGAAACGUCUGUCGAUCAAGAUAACAGCAACACGGAAAACGCUGUUGAAACGAGCAGUAACGACGAUUUGCUGGAUCAGAUACCUGUACCCUCCCUAGCACCGGAGGAGAGAAUAAUCAGCGCGGUAGCUUGUAAUGGUGGUGUCUCGUAUACCACAGUCGCGCCAUCUGAAUUGGGUGCUGUUCCUGAAGAAGACGAGGAAGCUGCUACUUCCUCCACGCCAAGCACGGUUGUAAGUCCAGCAAGAGCCCCGCUACUAGUCGAAGGUAGAGACCGAUCGCUGAGCUUUCACGAACGUGCCACGUCAAAGGACGUGAUAGACGAGUUGAAUCGAAUGAUCAGAAAGGGGGAAGAACACCCAGUCAACCAAGAUUCCCAGGUGCCGCUCGAAAAAUUGGAUCUCGCUUGCUGCUGUCCGACUGGAUGGGUUCACGUUGAACGAGAAAUUGACUUUACCGACCCAAAAGCAAGAGCCAAUCUUUUAGACGUGAUGCUAGAAAGCAGUGAAAGUUCUUCGGCGACAUCGAGCAGCGGAUCAGCCGGAAGUGACUCGGGGGAUGAACCACCGGAUUACCGUCACUUGCAUAGACUACAUCGAUACCGACGACAAAAGAAAGAUGGUAGCUCCUACGCGGUGUGCUUUGAUUGUCACAAGAAAAGCUACGUAGUUCGGCUUAGUGACGAUCAGUUUCUGUAACCGACAUGCCAGUUUGGAGGAAUCGUUUCACCGGGACCUAUUUUGGCCUGAUCCAACGUGAACUAGCCGGUAUAGGAAGAAAGAGAAAAGAGAUCAAGUGAGGUCUGAGGCAUGUUGACCCGCUGCGCUUGGUUUCUCAGCAUCGGCGGCCCAGGCACAUCGUGUGCUACGACUGCCGUCAACCUGGGGUUCUUCGAGGCCGUCGAUUAUCGGGCG